GACGAACGCUGGCGGCGUGCUUAACACAUGCAAGUCGAACGGAAAGGCCCUGCUUAUGUGGGUUGCACGAGUGGCGAACGGGUGAGUAACACGUGAGUAACCUGCCCUUGACUUUGGGAUAACUUCAGGAAACUGGGGCUAAUACCGGGUAGGAGCUCCUGCUGCAUGGUGGGGGUUGGAAAGUUUCGGCGGUUGGGGAUGGACUCGCGGCUUAUCAGCUUGUUGGUGGGGUAGUAGCAUACCAAGGCUUUGACGGGUAGCCGGCCUGAGAGGGUGACCGGGGUCAUGGGGACUGAGAGAGGGCGCAGAAGCGAACGGGAGGCAGCAGUGGGGAGCCUGGCAGAACGGGGGGGAGCCUGAUGCAGCAGCGCUGGGAGCGGGAAGACGGGCUACUGGGUGAAAACCGAUUUGGCCUGUGACGAAGCGUGAGUGACGGUAAUGGGUAAAGAAGCACCGGCUAACUACGUG
Molecule: ribosomal RNA, 468 nt
Filed under: uncultured bacterium
Lineage: Bacteria
Description: partial 16S ribosomal RNA
Rfam family: Bacterial small subunit ribosomal RNA
Source: RNAcentral